Molecule: transfer RNA, 72 nt
Filed under: Camelus bactrianus (Bactrian camel)
Lineage: Eukaryota; Metazoa; Chordata; Mammalia; Artiodactyla; Camelidae
Also listed under: 2 other names
Rfam family: tRNA
About the family: Transfer RNA (tRNA) molecules are approximately 80 nucleotides in length. Their secondary structure includes four short double-helical elements and three loops (D, anti-codon, and T loops). Further hydrogen bonds mediate the characteristic L-shaped molecular structure. tRNAs have two regions of fundamental functional importance: the anti-codon, which is responsible for specific mRNA codon recognition, and the 3' end, to which the tRNAs corresponding amino acid is attached (by aminoacyl-tRNA synthetases). tRNAs cope with the degeneracy of the genetic code in two manners: having more than one tRNA (with a specific anti-codon) for a particular amino acid; and 'wobble' base-pairing, i.e. permitting non-standard base-pairing at the 3rd anti-codon position.
Source: Rfam by way of RNAcentral
GAGGGUAUGGCUCAGUGGUGGAGCGCAUGCUUAGCAUGCACGAGGUCCUAGGUUCAAUCCCCGGUACCUCCA